GGCCAAGUCCCCGCAGAAGGGGAAACACUGCGGGGGAAGAGGCGUCGAGAGCCCGCAGCGGGCUCUGCGCGCCCUCCCCACUCCCCGCCACCGAGCCGCCUCCCCGCCGCGUCGCCGCCGCUCCCCGAUCCGAGCUGCUAUCGCAGAAUCCGCCUUUGCCGGGCUGCGCCCCUCUCCUGCCCCUGCCCCGAGUGCCGACGGGCGGCUGCAGUACGGGCUCUGCGGGGCCCUUUUCGCCGGGAGCUGGGCACGAGCAAGGGCCGGAGAAGGGGCCAGGGGGUCUCCGAGCGGGACACGGGGCGCCCGCGGGCCCUUCGAGCAUACGCGUUCCGAGGAGCGCCGCUGCGCCGGGACGGGCCCCCCGCGGCUGCCGAUCCGAGGAGCGCUGCUUCAGUCUGCAGUGAGAAGCAGGAGCAACUUUUAGCUACAGGCAGUAGGAAGCUGAGGAGCUGGAGCUGAGGCAGCAGAGCCGGAGGAGACAGAAAUGUGUGAGAAGAACACAAACUCACAACCAUUAAGGCCUGGCAGUUCCCUGCAGUGAGAGCUCAGCACACAUCCAGAGGCAAUUCCAGCAUCUGAAAGGAAGAAGAAAAAGGGACUGUUUCAUCAACCUCUGAAGCUGACAAGCCCAAAGGCUCUGGAGUCUGUCUGCUCUGGAACACAAGGAUACUCCCAGGGAUGAGGCACAUUCCCAGCAAACGCUCCCAACACGGCACAGAGGCACCACUGGAGCUCGUGUUGGGGCUGGGAAGGGCUGCCAGGAGGACACAGCCCCCAGCUGGGGUGGCAGUGGCAGCGACAGCAGCAAAUUCCACAGGCUGAUGGCACAACAGAGGGACAAAGGCCAGCAAUGGCCACGGAGCUGCAGGUUUCAUUGUGCUCCCUGCGCUGCCACAUCCCGGCAGGAAAGCUCCAGGGGGGACAGAAACUCCCUGGGUGCACAAAGUGCAGCCUCUGUGCCCCUGAUCCUGCUGGAACUCAGCUGUGGGGCCAGCCCCCAGGGUAAACACUGCCCUGCCUGCAGCAGCCUCAGGCACUGCCCCAUUCUCAGCUCCCCCUGCCCCGGGGCUGCCACCACAUUCCUGACCAGGAGCCAAAGGCCCCUUGGGACAGGGCUCUCUCUGUGUCUCAGCCUUGGGGACUGCAGGGACCAGGCAAGGACAGCCUGAAACCAGGGCAGAUCCCUCUGGGGACAGCUGGGGACUCACCCCACACCACGGGCAGGACCAGGGGCCCUCCAGUGCAGGCUGGAGCCUGUUGGGUUUGGCUGCUCAAACACCAAAGCUUUGGGCAGAGAUGGGAUGACUUAAGUGGUUUUUCCUGUCCUGAAAGAGAGGAGAAAAUGGAAAUCAGGUCCACUCUGGAAGUCAAAGGCUCCUGGCUUUCCUACUUCUGUUCUGAUUGCCCACUGUGGGGUUCUAUCCAUAAAAAAAUGAGAGGUGACACCACAUAAUACCCCUUGUGAAGAUUUUAUUCCUUACAUACAUAAAAAGAAUGCCUAUUUUUU
Molecule: non-coding RNA, 1507 nt
Organism: Taeniopygia guttata (zebra finch)
Lineage: Eukaryota; Metazoa; Chordata; Aves; Passeriformes; Estrildidae
Source: RefSeq, a predicted model, not a curated record